RNAcentral lists this ribosomal RNA (465 nucleotides) under Vreelandella stevensii. Its description in RNAcentral is "partial 16S ribosomal RNA". It matches the Rfam family "Bacterial small subunit ribosomal RNA", at positions 338 to 795 of the family's 1533-position model. The record is from RNAcentral. Lineage: Bacteria; Pseudomonadati; Pseudomonadota; Gammaproteobacteria; Oceanospirillales; Halomonadaceae.
CCUACGGGAGGCUGCAGUGGGGAAUAUUGGACAAUGGGCGAAAGCCUGAUCCAGCCAUGCCGCGUGUGUGAAGAAGGCCUUCGGGUUGUAAAGCACUUUCAGUGGGGAAGAAAGCCUUGGGGCUAAUACCCUCGAGGAAGGACAUCACCCACAGAAGAAGCACCGGCUAACUCCGUGCCAGCAGCCGCGGUAAUACGGAGGGUGCGAGCGUUAAUCGGAAUUACUGGGCGUAAAGCGCGCGUAGGCGGUCUGAUAAGCCGGUUGUGAAAGCCCCGGGCUCAACCUGGGAACGGCAUCCGGUACUGUCAGGCUAGAGGGCAGGAGAGGAAGGUAGAAUUCCCGGUGUAGCGGUGAAAUGCGUAGAGAUCGGGAGGAAUACCAGUGGCGAAGGCGGCCUUCUGGACUGACACUGACGCUGAGGUGCGAAAGCGUGGGUAGCAAACAGGAUUAGAUACCCCUGUAGUC